This 458-nucleotide unclassified non-coding RNA is filed under the name Hevea brasiliensis (rubber tree). Lineage: Eukaryota; Viridiplantae; Streptophyta; Magnoliopsida; Malpighiales; Euphorbiaceae. The record is from RNAcentral.
AAAAAUUUAUUUCCAAUCCAUAUAGCAGCUUUGGCUGGCCAUGCACAAAUGGUGCAUGAACUGUACGAUGAAGAUCAUAUCAAAAAUCAACUAACAAAUGAUGAUCGCAUUAGUUUACUCAUCGCUUUGGUAGAGUCUGAUAUAUAUGAUGUUGCACUGAAGAUGAUAGAACGUCACCCAGAGUUGGCCACUAUGAAUGAUCAUACCAGAGAGGAAGAGACAGCAUUGCAUGCAUUUGCUCGAAAGCCUUGUAUACCUUCCAUUGAAACUUCUACAGGGAUUUGGAGUUGCUGCAAAAACUUCUAUUUGUUUUUCUCGGUUGCUGGUUCGAACAAAAGUAAGCACGAACAAGGGCUUGAGCUAGUCCAAAAGCUUUGGGAGAAAGUAAUAUUGCAGGAUGAGGAAAAAGUUUCUAAGUUUAUGAUCAUACCUUCUGGGCGACUUAUAUUUAUUGCAGC